This 459-nucleotide ribosomal RNA is filed under the name uncultured bacterium. RNAcentral describes it as "partial 16S ribosomal RNA". It matches the Rfam family "Bacterial small subunit ribosomal RNA", at positions 338 to 795 of the family's 1533-position model. The record is from RNAcentral.
CCUACGGUGUGCAGCAGUGAGGAAUAUUGGUCAAUGGGCGCGAGACUGAACCAGCCAAGUCGCGUGAGGGAAGACGGUCCUAUGGAUUGUAAACUUCUUUUGUCGGGGAGCAAAAGACGCCCCGCGUGGCGUUCCGAGAGUACCCGAAGAAAAAGCAUCGGCUAACUCCGUGCCAGCAGCCGCGGUAAUACGGAGGAUGCGAGCGUUAUCCGGAUUUAUUGGGUUUAAAGGGUGCGCAGGCGGAAGAUCAAGUCAGUGGUAAAAUUGGGAGGCUCAACCUCUUCGAGGCGGUGAAACUGGUUGUCUUGAGUGAACGAGAAGUAUGCGGAAUGCGUGGUGUAGCGGUGAAAUGCAUAGAGAUCACACAGAACUCCGAUUGCGAAGGCAGCAUACCGGCGCUCAACUGACGCUCAUGCACGAAAGUGUGGGUAUCGAACAGGAUUAGAUACCCUUGUAGUC